UACGUAGGGUGCAAGCGUUAAUCGGAAUUACUGGGCGUAAAGCGUGCGCAGGCGGUUCGCUAAGACAGAUGUGAAAUCCCCGGGCUUAACCUGGGAACUGCAUUUGUGACUGGCGGGCUAGAGUAUGGCAGAGGGGGGUAGAAUUCCACGUGUAGCAGUGAAAUGCGUAGAGAUGUGGAGGAAUACCGAUGGCGAAGGCAGCCCCCUGGGCCAGUACUGACGCUCAUGCACGAAAGCGUGGGGAGCAAACAGG
This 253-nucleotide ribosomal RNA is filed under the name uncultured bacterium. RNAcentral's name for it is "partial 16S ribosomal RNA". It matches the Rfam family "Bacterial small subunit ribosomal RNA", at positions 524 to 776 of the family's 1533-position model. The record is from RNAcentral.